GACGAACGCUGGCGGCGUGCUUAACACAUGCAAGUCGAACGGAAAGGCCCUGCUUUUGUGGGGUGCUCGAGUGGCGAACGGGUGAGUAACACGUGAGUAACCUGCCCUUGACUUUGGGAUAACUUCAGGAAACUGGGGCUAAUACCGGAUAGGAGCUCCUGCUGCAUGGUGGGGGUUGGAAAGUUUCGGCGGUUGGGGAUGGACUCGCGGCUUAUCAGCAUGUUGGUGGGGUAGUGGCUUACCAAGGCUUUGACGGGUAGCCGGCCUGAGAGGGUGACCGGCCACAUUGGGACUGAGAUACGGCCAAGACUCCUACGGGAGGCAGCAGUGGGGAAUAUUGCACAAUGGGCGGAAGCCUGAUGCAGCAACGCCGCGUGCGGGAUGACGGCCUUCGGGUUGUAACCCGCUUUCGCCUGUGACGAAGCGUGAGUGACGGUAAUGGGUAAAGAAGCACCGGCUAACUACGUG
This 468-nucleotide ribosomal RNA is filed under the name uncultured bacterium. RNAcentral's name for it is "partial 16S ribosomal RNA". It matches the Rfam family "Bacterial small subunit ribosomal RNA", at positions 28 to 507 of the family's 1533-position model. The record is from RNAcentral.